AUCUCCAGUGAGGGGAGCGGAGCUGGGGAGACGGACGGAAGGCGAGGCGUUUCCAGCCCGGACCACCACUUCCAUCGCCGUCCCUGUUGUUUCGACACCGCCGACGGGGAUAUGGCACGCAAACCCUGCGCUCUGUCCGGCUAACCCGGCGAGAAAACGCCGAAAUCUCCGCAGGCGAAGAGCAGAAUAUGUGGUAUGCGGUCAGUGCGAUGAUUAGCAUGUGAGCGAUAGUCGCGUCCAGCCUGUUAUUCGGGUGUCUGCGUUACACAGCCGAGGUUUUCCCAGCCAAAUGGCCUUUUGGGACGCAGGAAAAGCUGGACGCCGUUUCGCCCAGCGCCACAUCUCCUCGUGGAAACUCUAAUGUGUGCUACUUUACGAAGAAGUCCGUCUGUCGGGAAGGAAAACAAACGCCAAAGUUGGGUUUUAUGUUUAGUUGAUUGAACUUGUUAGCACGCAUAGCUCUUAUCUCGGGAUAAAUACAGCCGAGCAGGAUUUUAACCUCUUUUUAAAGCCGCCUGUCACUUCUGUGAGCACUCAGACGGCCGGGCCUUCAGGGCAGUUCUGUGUUUUCGGGGGUUCGGUGUUGUUUGCAGCUACGAGCUUUCCAGCAGGACUUGUUCAGAAAUGUGCCCGGUGGUCCGUAGAAAAGCAGACGUGAUUUUGACCAGUGGCUCACGGGGGUCUCAGCGAUAAAAACUGAACAAAAACUGUUUUUUUUGCUCUUUGAAGAGGAGAAAAAGACCGAGACAUGGCAGCGGAGGGCCGGGUCACUGUCUUCGAUAUCGGACUGUUCGCCUUGGUUCUGCUCAGUCCUGUUGCUGCUGCUCAGGCUGAGGAGAGAGAGUGUGCGUACGCAGAGCUGGCUGAGAACAUCGGCCGAGGAGGAGAGGGGCGUGUGUUUCCAGAGAACUCCACCAUCCGCUGCAAUCAGGGUGGCCGAUGCUACGGACUGUGGGAAAAGAAACAGGACGGAUUCCAACUAGUCAAACAAGGUUGCUGGGCAACUGUGAACGGCCAUCGGAGUGAGUGCCAUGACGACCACUGUCAGGUGACGAACACGCCCUCCCAAAUCCAAAACGGCAACUACCGCUUCUGCUGCUGUAGCAAGGACAUGUGCAACCUCAACUUCACUGAGGACUUCCCAACACCCUGUCCCACCACCGCACAGCCAGUCCAUACUCACCAGCUGUACCGGGAGGAGGCUAUCUUGAUUGCCCUGGCAACCGUCUCCGUGGUUGCAGUAUUGGUUGUGCUGCUCUUUUUCAUCUACCGUGUGCUCAGGGGACAUGGUAAACAGAGUCUUCAUAACUUGAAUAUGCUGGAGGCAGCUUUCUCUCCCCCUUCACUGGACUUGGACAACCUCAAGCUCCUUGAACUGAUCGGCCGUGGCCGGUACGGGGCAGUGUACCGUGGCUGUCUGGAUGAGCGCUCUGUGGCGGUUAAGGUUUUCUCUAGUGGUAACCACCAGCCCUUUGUUAACGAGCGUUCUAUCUACCGCCUCCUUCUGGACCACGACAACAUAGCCCGCUUCCUUGAGAGUGAAGAACGUCUCGGAACUGAUGGUCGGACUGAGUACCUGCUGCUGCUGGAGUUCUACCCACAUGGCUCUCUGUGCACGUAUCUGAAUGCGAGGGUUGUUGACUGGUUGAGCUGCUGCCGCCUCGUUCUCUCUGUCACUAGAGGCCUGGCUUACCUGCACACUGAGCUGAUGAGAGGUGAUGUCUAUAAGCCUGCAGUCUCACACCGGGAUCUGAACAGUAGGAAUGUGCUGGUGAAGGCAGAUGGCUGCUGUGUGAUUAGUGAUUUCGGCCUCUCCAUGACUCUAACGGGGAAGAAGCAGUCGGGCCAUGCAGAGGAUGACAACACGGCCAUCAGUGAGGUGGGCACAGUACGUUACAUGGCUCCAGAGGUGCUGGAAGGGGCAGUGAAUCUGCGGGACUGUGAGGCAGCACUGAAGCAGGUGGAUGUGUAUGCUCUGGGUCUGCUUUACUGGGAAAGCUUCAUGCGCUGUGCUGACCUCUUUCCAGGUGAAUCAGCUCCUGCAUUCCAGCUGGCCUUUCAGGCUGAGGUGGGAAAUCACCCGACCAUAGAGGACAUGCAGGCACUGGUGUCCCGCCACAAACAGAGACCCAAAUUCCCAGAGGCGUGGAAAGAGAACAGUCUGGCUGUGCGUUCACUGAAGGAGACAAUGGAGGACUGCUGGGAUCAAGAUGCUGAGGCUCGGCUUACAGCCCAAUGUGCAGAGGAACGGCUGGCUGAGCUGCUUCUCCUCUGGGAACGCAACAAAUCCGUGAGCCCUGCUCUGAAUCGCAGCACAGCACUGCACAAUCACAGGAACUUGUCACAUGGCCGCCAAACACCAAAGACUGGCACCUACUCAGAAUUCUCCUCUUCAGCCACUACAGAAGGCCAAGAGGGUGUAGCUAAACCACCUCACAGUGAUGCGUCUACAGAACCCGGCUCAGUAGGAGGGGUUAAUGGCUUAGGGGGAACAGCUGUGGAGAAAAACAGAAACUGCAUCAACUACGAGCGUCAGCAGGCCCAAUCACGGCUGUCUGGGACUGACAGCAGCACCCCCACGCCUCUGACCGAGUCCUGUCCCACUGCCCCACAGCCAGCAGGGGGAGGCAGUGUGCCACCCUGCACCCAGCUCACUCAAGAGGACCUGGAGACUCCCAAGCUGGAUCCAAGCGAGGUACAGCGGAAUCUGCGCGAGAGCUCUGACGAGAGCCUGAUGGAGCACUCACAGAAACAGUUCUGCUCCCCUGAAAUGGUGAACCCACAAAGCCCUUUCUACCCACUCAUCAAAAUGGCUGCUGAGGUCACCGGAUCCCAGGCUCGCCACGGCGAUGCCCCUACGACCAUCUUGCCGAAACAGCAGAACGUACCCAAGAGGCCCAGCAGCUUAAAUCUCCACACAAAGCCUGUUGGGAAGUUGGCCUCCUCUUCAGCGUCCUCAUCCCUGAGGCUGAAGUUUAGCAAACUGGGAAAGAGCAAUCUAAGGAAGACUGAUGUGGGCGUGGCCAGAGCUAAAGCUGUCGCCCCGGCAACUGAACCACAUCCAGUUAUGGUUGCUAAGAACAAUACAAGCGUUGACAAUGCCAUAAUCGUGAACGGUUCAACCACAGGAUCCACUGACUUGCCACCCGGUGAAGCCAUUAGCAACCCUUCUCAGGACAAUGGGGGCACGAGCUCAGAUGACCUGACCUUCGGCCUCCUGACCACCAGUCCGGACGAGCAAGAGCCUCUUCUCCGGAGAGAGGCUCAGCCGGACAAUGCCAACAACAACAACAGCAAUAACAACACUGGAGAAGGGGAAGGUGAUGGAAAAGGUGAGGAAGUUGGUGGAGAGAGAGGAGAGAGCAGCGAGUGCGCUGGUCCAGCUGGGGACCCACAAAGCUCAUCUGCAACAGAUCCCCUGGCAGUGUCCCUGCCCUGCCCUGCUUCUGACCUGGUGACCCCUCAGGUAGUGCCUCAGAUCCAGGCCCAGCCUCAGGCCCAACCAGAGGAUGUUCCUCAGGGAGAGGCUCUGCUCCGACAGAACCGAGUACGCAGACCUGAGAGACCCAACUCGCUGGAUUUAUCCAUCACCACAUUGCCACUACUGGGAGGCCAGUCGCACGGUGACGAUAACGAGAGCUCCGGAGAGAAGAUCAAAAAACGAGUGAAGACCCCCUAUGCCCUGAAGAAGUGGCGCCCGGCCACCUGGGUCAUAACCACAGACACGCUGGAUGCUGAACUGAACAAUAACAGUCGCGCUGGAGGUCAGAACCCAGGCCAGGCCGGAACCAGCAGACCCAAAUCAGCCCCCAACCUCUAUCUGGGCGGCCGUGGGGGAGUGACCUCCAGCUUCACCUCUGACCCCAGUGACUGCGACUUCUGACUUUUCAUCCUGCUUUGACACACACACACACACACACACACACACACACACACACACACACACACACACACACUCCUUUUACAGGUAUUCGCAUUCCAGAAUACCGCUGUGCAGCUGGUUGCAUCCUUAGAUAUUGCUGUCCGUUCUCAGCUGCAAGGCCGUUUCAGCUGGCUCUGGCAAGAGUCAUGAACAGAAUUACGAGGAGUUUGCCUGAAAGGAGAAAUCGUUUCUGAGUGAGCACAACCUGUGUAUCAGUUCUUCGGUUUAGCAUCACCUUUUCCUCUCUCCUUGAAACUUUCCAUGCUUUUUUAUGUGCACUUUUAAAUGUUGAAAUCAUGUGAUUAAUUCUCUUUUGACCCUAAUGGUAAAAAAAAGAAAUCAAUGUUUGAUAAAUAUUGUAAUAUGUAUGAAAGAGCACAUCAUGGUAUAAAAUACGCAAGGUUGUCUGAAAGACACGCAAGGUGGCAAAGCUUUAUUAGUCAGCAGUGCAGGCCUGUAUGUAUAAGUCCAAUCACUAGCACUUGGAUUGGGCUGAUCUCUUCGCUGGAGAGCUCUGCAGAGCUUAUCAUAGGGCCUAAAUCAGACUGACCUACUGAUAAGAGGAGGUCCAUUGGAGAUGUACUCGGAGACUACAGUGAGACAAUGCUGAACCAGCAGCGUUUAAGGUGCUGACCGUGCACAGCAAUCACCGUUCACUAGGGCUGGGACGUUAAGCAAUUUUGAAAAACAAAUCAAUAAACAAAAUCAUUGAUAAAUAUAAGUAUUUUACAUAUUUACACAAUAAUAUAUAUUUUACAGUAAAAUAUUCAGCUCUUAUUUAUUUUAUAUUAACAUCUUAUUCGAUGAAAGGUGUAGUUUACAUGAUCCUCCCUAUAUGCAGUGGAUAUAUCAGCCAAGCUUGGUUUUAAGUCCAGAUUACGCUUCUUUAGUUUAGACCUAGUGCUACUAUGCUGACGUUGCUAAUUAACACUGGAAUUCAGUGGUCACCCAAACUAUUUGCAUAAAUAAACACCAAAACAUCUAAAUCUGCUCAAAAUGUAUUAAGGGCUUAAUUCAGGUCAUACAGACAAGUUGAUGUGGUUUACACAGUAUGACUGAAUAUGAACUAUAAUAACUAAAAAGCACAACUUCAAAAAAGAGUGGGCGCCUGUUUCUUUUAACCGGAAUCAUUUAUUAUUUUAUUAUUUAUUUAUUGUAUUAUUUAUUUAUUAUUACUCGAUAUGCAACCUACACCUACAGUAAGCAAACCUUAGGCUUUACUGUGCUAAAGCUACAUGUCUGCCUAUACGCAGACAAUCAUGCACUUCUAUUUUAGCUGAACUGUGUAAAUAAAGUCUGUCUAGGUUUAUUUUACCAAAUUGAUUUUAUUAAAAUGAGCGAGCAUCAUAGCUUAUCAGUGCUAUUUAAGGUCGAUAUGAAGAUUUUUCAGCAGCUCCGGUUCUAAACUAAAGAAGCCAAAUUUGGACAACAGACUCUUCUUGGCACAUUGACUGCAUUCAGGGCAAAUGGAAAAUAUUGUAAAUUUGACUUUUCACCAAACUGUUCUUUUAAUCAGAAACAGGAUUUUUUAUCCUCGCUUUACACCGUGAGUGAGCCCUGCAGACGCUGCAGAACGGGCUGCUGAUGAACUUCAGCAGAACAGGCUGUUGAUGAACUUCAGCAGAACAGGCUGCUGAUGAACUUCAGCAGAACAGGCUGUUGAUAAACUUCAGCAGAACGGGCUGUUGAUGAACUUCAGCAGAACGGGCUGCUGAUGAACUUCAGCAGAACGGGCUGCUGAUGAACUUCAGCAGAACGGGCUGCUGAUGAACUUCAGCAGAACGGGCUGUUGAUGAACUUCAGCAGAACGGGCUGUUGAUGAACUUCAGCAGAACGGGCUGUUGAUGAACUUCAGCAGAACGGGUUGUUGAUGAACUUCAGCAGAACGGGCUGCUGAUGAACUUCAGCAGAACGGGCUGCUGAUGAACUUCAGCAGAACGGGCUGUUGAUGAACUUCAGCAGAACGGGCUGUUGAUGAACUUCAGCAGAACGGGCUGCUGAUGAACUUCAGCAGAACGGGCUGCUGAUGAACUUCAGCAGAACGGGCUGUUGAUGAACUUCAGCAGAACGGGCUGUUGAUGAACUUCAGCAGAACGGGCUGCUGAUGAACUUCAGCAGAACAGGCUGUUGAUGAACUUCAGCAGAACAGGCUGCUGAUGAACUUCAGCAGAACAGGCUGUUGAUAAACUUCAGCAGAACGGGCUGUUGAUGAACUUCAGCAGAACGGGCUGCUGAUGAACUUCAGCAGAACGGGCUGUUGAUGAACUUCAGCAGAACGGGCUGUUGAUGAACUUCAGCAGAACGGGCUGUUGAUGAACUUCAGCAGAACGGGCUGUUGAUGAACUUCAGCAGAACGGGCUGUUGAUGAACUUCAGCAGAACGGGCUGUUGAUGAACUUCAGCAGAACGGGCUGCUGAUGAACUUCAGCAGAACGGGCUGUUGAUGAACUUCAGCAGAACGGGCUGCUGAUGAACUUCAGCAGAACGGGCUGC
Molecule: RNA transcript, 6414 nt
Organism: Pygocentrus nattereri (red-bellied piranha)
Lineage: Eukaryota; Metazoa; Chordata; Actinopteri; Characiformes; Serrasalmidae
Gene: bmpr2a
Gene name: bone morphogenetic protein receptor, type II a (serine/threonine kinase)
Exons: 14
Source: RefSeq, a predicted model, not a curated record